ACGAACGCUGGCGGCGUGCUUAACACAUGCCAGUCGAACGGAAAGGCCCUGCUUUUGUGGGGUGCUCGAGUGGCGAACGGGUGAGUAACACGUGAGUAACCUGCCCUUGACUUUGGGAUAACUUCAGGAAACUGGGGCUAAUACCGGAUAGGAGCUCCUGCUGCAUGGUGGGGGUUGGAAAGUUUCGGCGGUUGGGGAUGGACUCGCGGCUUAUCAGCUUGUUGGUGGGGUAGUGGCUUACCAAGGCUUUGACGGGUAGCCGGCCUGAGAGGGUGACCAGCCACAUUGGGACUGAGAUACGGCCCAGACUCCUACGGGAGGCAGCAGUGGAGAAUAUUGCACAAUGAGCGGAAGCCUGAUGCAGCAACGCCGCGUGCGGGAUGACGGCCUUCGGGUUGUAAACCGCUUUCGCCUGUGACGAAGCGUGAGUGACGGUAAUGGGUAAAGAAGCACCGGCUAACUACGUG
RNAcentral lists this ribosomal RNA (467 nucleotides) under uncultured bacterium. Its description in RNAcentral is "partial 16S ribosomal RNA". It matches the Rfam family "Bacterial small subunit ribosomal RNA", at positions 29 to 507 of the family's 1533-position model. The record is from RNAcentral.